GAAAAGUGUGCAUUGGCCAAUUCAAUCCAUUGAAAGGGGGAAGCAUGAGGUAUCUUGGCACAUCUCCAUACGUUGAGCGUUCUGAGGCUGGUGUGGUACGGGACAUGGAGCUGGCCCUGCAGUUUGAUGGCCCAGUCAAUGGCAUAAAGGGACCAUCACCAGUGAUGAACCUGCCUCACUUCAACUUGGUGUGGGGAUUCACCGUAGAGUACAUGCAUGCUGUCCUUCUUGGUGUGGCACGACAGUUCACUGACCUUAUGUUUAACUCUGUCAACCAUGGCCAAGCAUUCUAUAUAGGGAGCCCAACAGAUGUUGUCAAGGUGAACAAGAGAUUACUGUCAAUUUGCCCGCCACACUGUUUCACCCGCCUUCCAAGACAAAUCAAA
Molecule: long non-coding RNA, 386 nt
Organism: Ornithodoros turicata
Lineage: Eukaryota; Metazoa; Arthropoda; Arachnida; Ixodida; Argasidae
Exons: 3
Source: RefSeq, a predicted model, not a curated record